UUUCCAGACUCCUACGGGAGGCAGCAGUGAGGAAUAUUGGUCAAUGGGCGCGAGCCUGAACCAGCCAAGUCGCGUGAGGGAAGACGGUCCUAUGGCUUGUAAACCUCUUUUGUCGGGGAGCAAAAGCCGGACGUGUCCGUCUGUGAGAGUACCCGAAGAAAAAGCAUCGGCUAACUCCGUGCCAGCAGCCGCGGUAAUACGUAGGUGGCAAGCGUUGUCCGGAAUUACUGGGUGUAAAGGGAGCGCAGGCGGGAAGCCAAGUCAGCUGUGAAAACUACGGGCUUAACGUGUAGACUGCAGUUGAAACUGGUUUUCUUGAGUGAAGUAGAGGUUGGCGGAAUUCCGAGUGUAGCGGUGAAAUGCGUAGAUAUUCGGAGGAACACCGGUGGCGAAGGCGGCCAACUGGGCUUUAACUGACGCUGAGGCUCGAAAGUGUGGGGAGCAAACAGGAUUAGAUACCCGUGUAG
This 467-nucleotide ribosomal RNA is filed under the name uncultured bacterium. RNAcentral's name for it is "bacterial SSU rRNA". It matches the Rfam family "Bacterial small subunit ribosomal RNA", at positions 328 to 793 of the family's 1533-position model. The record is from RNAcentral.